This is a long non-coding RNA of Pleuronectes platessa (European plaice), 764 nucleotides long. RefSeq lists it as uncharacterized. NCBI's taxonomy places the organism in Eukaryota, Metazoa, Chordata, Actinopteri, Pleuronectiformes, Pleuronectidae. The record is from RefSeq and is a predicted model, not a curated record. The transcript has 4 exons.
UUAUCAACCUGGGCCAAUAUAACGCUGGAUUCUCUAAAAGGUUGUUAUUGAAAGAGGGGUCGGUGCCAUCUUUCCAUCGCAAUACUGAAGACGAGGGAAAUGCAAGCACAUCUGUUCACGGUGCUAGGCUACAUCACGUAGCAUGCCAGACGGACCCACCAAAGAUGCGCACACAUGGAACGCAGCUUUCUAUGAAAACACUGCGACCUCACUACAAAAGUACAGGCACACAGAAAACUGUGCUGCACUGAUGUCGGUGUUGGGACCUCAGCUGUAAGAGACCUCGCUUGGAGGAGGGACAGGACAACCCAAGUUGUUGCAGUAUGGACUUCGGAGAGCCACAGGAUGCUACCUAUAUGAUCCUGAUGACUCGAUCACAGUCUUGACUGAGUCAGCAGAUGUGACAAUGGAAUCUUCCAACCCUGUUCAUAAGACACCCACAUAUAUUGUCUAUGAAAACUGCCUCCUGGAGCUGUUUGAGGUGUGUCCUGUGUGUCGGCGGGGGACAGAUGUAAUAUAUAAGAAGGGCGAGUGCACAGCAAAGCCGGUGAAAGCAGAUGCAACCUUCCGUGAUUCUCACAGGCUCUAUUUAAAAGCCAAACAGUGUACAAACAGUAUGUGAAACAUAAAUAACAUAUCGAUUAACUGCUGUCUUUAAAUUGUCUUCACGAUUUAAAGACCAUUUAUUUAUCGUCUUCACGAUAAAUAGAAUAAAAUAAUUAUAAAAAGAAAAUAAUAAAUACAAAAAGUGCAAAAUGUCCAAC